RNAcentral lists this ribosomal RNA (512 nucleotides) under uncultured bacterium. RNAcentral describes it as "bacterial SSU rRNA". It matches the Rfam family "Bacterial small subunit ribosomal RNA", at positions 8 to 518 of the family's 1533-position model. The record is from RNAcentral.
AGAGUUUGAUUAUGGCUCAGGAUGAACGCUAGCUACAGGCUUAACACAUGCAAGUCGAGGGGUAGCAGGGUAGCAAUACCGCUGACGACCGGCGCACGGGUGAGUAACACGUAUCCAACCUUCCCAUAACUCAGGGAUAGCCUUUCGAAAGAAAGAUUAAUACCUGAUGGUACUUAUAUAAGGCAUCUUUUAUAAGUUAAAGAUUUAUUGGUUAUGGAUGGGGAUGCGUUCCAUUAGAUAGUUGGUGAGGUAACGGCUCACCAAGUCUUCGAUGGAUAGGGGUUCUGAGAGGAAGGUCCCCCACAUUGGUACUGAGACACGGACCAAACUCCUACGGGAGGCAGCAGUGAGGAAUAUUGGUCAAUGGGCGCGAGCCUGAACCAGCCAAGUAGCGUGAAGGAUGAAGGUCCUAUGGAUUGUAAACUUCUUUUAUAGUAGAAUAAAGUGAGCCACGUGUGGUUUUUGUAUGUAUACUAUGAAUAAGGAUCGGCUAACUCCGUGCCAGCAGCUGC